AUUGACGUUGUACUGCGCAUGCGCGACUUUAACUUUUAUUUUCUACUACGGGAGAAUUGCUGGUUUGCUGUAGUCGUUACAACGUGACAGAUUCGUAAUGAGAUCCCGUACCUGCCUUGUAAGCUCUUUCCGGCCCAUGGCUUUUCCAGUUGGAUGUUACCAGGAAGAUGUCAGGAAAAUCCUAUAGGAACAGCUGUACUUCAUUUGGGGGUAAUCACAUUAACUGAUGCACUUUUAACAGUCGACAUGGUCACAAAGCAGCAGGAAUGAUGCAGAGGUGAAAGUAGUGAGAAACUCCCUGAGAUGACUUGAGGGUACAAAGAAGGUAUGCAUCGAGGCUCUUUCUGAAUGAACGUGCCCUAGAUGUUCGAUCAGCAGAGUCACUGGUUGUCUUCAAAUGACUACUAAAGGCAUUUUCAUGAACUCAUGAAGUACUUAAAUGUGCAAAUCCAUGUCUUGUGUGUUUUUUUCAUACUAUACUAACCUCCUCAAUAAGGUUUUUAGACUGAUACUCUUAGUGUAUGAGAGAGUGAACCAGUGUGAAGAUGUACUUACUGAUAGAGACUUCAAAGCACUUCUGUAAGUCACUCUGGAUAAGGAUGUUGGUAAAUGUCAAUGAAUGGGAAAGAAUCCUUUAGAGGAACCAGACUUAAAAAGGAACCAAAUACCUUUAUCGUGACACCAGAUUAUAAAUCAUUACAGUAUACAGUUAUUGAAGAGUAAAGACAAACUAAGUGUGUGGAAAGGAUGUUCCAUAUGAGCAGAUUGGGGUUGGUUUUCUGUGAUAGUGACCAGAAGGUUGUGAGUUUAAAUCCUAAGACUGCCAGGGACACACUGUAGGACUCAUGUGCAUGGUUCAUUUACACUCUUUUUAGAAAAGCCAUUCUGGAAAUACACUAACAAAUGGAAAAGCAUUAUCAGAUUAAAGAGGAAAUUUUCACACGGGCUUGGAAGAAAACUGAUAAGAGAUUUCUCGGAAAGGGCUGAGACGGGUUGGGCUUUUAAAUGUAAUUCUGAAAGAGUAUGCAGGACACACCCUGAUUGUGAUUCUGUUGUUUUUUUUGUUUGUUUUUUUUAAACUUUUUGUUUAACCCUAACUAUUUUUUUUUCAAACUUUUUAUGACGAGCUCUUUUGCUGAAAUGUAUCCUAGUUAAUGUAUCACAUUGCCACACAUGUAGCCUAGUACACCAACUGCUAUGUUCUUAAAUCUCUGUUGUGUUAUCCUUCCAUUUUAAUCAACUGGUCUGACUCCAAUUAGUUUGUUUACAGGACAGCCUAAGUUACCCGUAGAUUUCAGCCUCCAAAAUGAGCACAUUUCACAAGCUUCCUCUGAACUUUGCUUUAGGAUUUCAUAAUAAUGACACAGUGAAUUGACUUCAUCUUAAAGGACAUCCUUUGCAGGAAUAUACCAUUUAUUUUGUCUGCUUAUCAACGCUGAGCUUCUUCUCAACAAUGUAGCCAUAUCACUAUUUAUUCCAGAGCAUUUUUAAAGCUCUUUGCAUAUUUUUCAAAAUUGUAAAACAGUAAAAAUUUCAUAGAAACAAUAGAGCAGAAAUCUUAGCAAUAAUAAAUAGUCUAUGUGAGCUAGUUAUUGUAAAUUGCAGAACUGUUCAUUAUCUGUAUAUUAUAGCCUAUAAUGAUAAUAAUCCAUUAUUAUCUUGAACAAAAUGCAAUUUCUAUUCUAGGGAUAGUGUGUUAUAGUAAUUGCA
Long non-coding RNA from Ictalurus furcatus (blue catfish), 1710 nucleotides. RefSeq lists it as uncharacterized. The record is from RefSeq and is a predicted model, not a curated record. NCBI's taxonomy places the organism in Eukaryota, Metazoa, Chordata, Actinopteri, Siluriformes, Ictaluridae. The transcript has 3 exons.